Molecule: long non-coding RNA, 749 nt
Filed under: Elaeis guineensis (African oil palm)
Lineage: Eukaryota; Viridiplantae; Streptophyta; Magnoliopsida; Arecales; Arecaceae
Description: long non-coding RNA (EGUI_LNC076426)
Source: RNAcentral
AAACAUGGCCUACUUGUUGAAAAAUAAAGAGGCCAUGGAUGCCAAUCUGAUCAUUCUCUGGAAGGAGAAGAAAAAGAAGUCCGACUCACUGCAGGACACAAACAUCAACUUGAAGAAAAGUUAAAGGCACUAAAGGAGAAGAAUCAAAACCUACUGAAUCAUCAGUGAAAGGUCAAUAAAUAGGAGAAAAAGAUUUUUGAUCUACAUACUAUUGCCAAGAAGAAUAAGGAAUUGGAGUCAAGGCUUAGAGAGGUGGAGAAGGCCAAUGAGGUGUUAGAAAAUGUAGGUGAUUUCAUACAUAUACUUCAAAAAUUUUCAAAAUAAAUCACAACAGAAAGCAACUAGUUUAAUCAUAUUAAUCUAACAUGCAUAUGAUCAGAUCAAUAAAUCAACCUACUCGAGGAUCUAUGAUAUGAUAUGAUGUAUAUAAAAUCUAAAAAAAAUAGAAGAUAAAAUCUAUAUGCAUACAUGUGAACAGUAGAUCAGAUUUACUUCUAAUCUGAGUUCAAAACUUGAUACCUAAGCAUGGAUCGAUGAUCGUCGCUAUUGAGACAUGUGGUGAAGAGGAUCCUUGCUAGUUGCUCACAGCCGCACACAUGUCUGAUCUCUACGAAAAGUUCACUCAAAGCUCCGAUCUGAUCGGUCUCCUCAGAAGUGCUAGCUCGCAUGAAGACCAUCUUGUUGGUUGAUCUGAAUCUUUUCUUCAAAUCUCUCGAAUCUUUCUAGAGGUUGAAAAAGGACAUCUAGAG